Molecule: ribosomal RNA, 546 nt
Filed under: uncultured bacterium
Lineage: Bacteria
Description: partial 16S ribosomal RNA
Rfam family: Bacterial small subunit ribosomal RNA
Source: RNAcentral
UGGGGAAUAUUGCACAAUGGGCGAAAGCCUGAUGCAGCAACGCCGCGUGAGUGAUGAAGGUCUUCGGAUUGUAAAGCUCUGUCUUUUGGGACGAUAAUGACGGUACCAAAGGAGGAAGCCACGGCUAACUACGUGCCAGCAGCCGCGGUAAUACGUAGGUGGCGAGCGUUGUCCGGAUUUACUGGGCGUAAAGGGUGCGUAGGCGGAUGUUUAAGUGAGAUGUGAAAUACCCGGGCUUAACUUGGGUGCUGCAUUUCAAACUGGAUAUCUAGAGUGCAGGAGAGGAGAAUGGAAUUCCUAGUGUAGCGGUGAAAUGCGUAGAGAUUAGGAAGAACACCAGUGGCGAAGGCGAUUCUCUGGACUGUAACUGACGCUGAGGCACGAAAGCGUGGGUAGCAAACAGGAUUAGAUACCCUGGUAGUCCACGCCGUAAACGAUGAGUACUAGGUGUAGGAGGUAUCGACCCCUUCUGUGCCGCAGUAAACACAUUAAGUACUCCGCCUGGGAAGUACGAUCGCAAGAUUAAAAACUCUAAAGUGAAUUGAC